AUUGAACGCUGGCGGCAGGCCUAACACAUGCAAGUCGAGCGGAUGAAGGGAGCUUGCUCCUGGAUUCAGUGGCGGACGGGUGAGUAAUGCCUAGGAAUCUGCCUGGUCGUGGGGGAUAACGUCCGGAAACGGGAGCUAAUACCGCAUACGUCCUGAGGGAGAAAGUCGGGGAUCUUCGGAGAUCACGCUAUUAGAUGAGCCUAGGUCGGAUUCGCCAGUUGGUGGGGUAAAGGCCUACCAAGGCGACGAUCCGUACCUGGUCCGAUAGGAGGAUCAGUCACACGGGAACUGAGACACGGUCCAGACUCCUACGGGGGGCGGCGGUGGGGAAUAUUGGACAUUGAGGAAAGGCCUAAUCAGGCCAGGCCGCGUAGGUAAGAAAGGUCUUCGGAUUGAAAAGCACUUUAAGUUGGGAGAAAGGGCAGUAAGUUAAUACCUUGCUGUUUUGACGGUACUAACAGAGAAAGCACCGGCCAACUUCGUG
RNAcentral lists this ribosomal RNA (484 nucleotides) under uncultured bacterium. Its description in RNAcentral is "partial 16S ribosomal RNA". It matches the Rfam family "Bacterial small subunit ribosomal RNA", at positions 30 to 507 of the family's 1533-position model. The record is from RNAcentral.